CGUAGGUAACCUGCCUGGUAGCGGGGGAUAACUAUUGGAAACGAUAGCUAAUACCGCAUAACAGUAGAUGUUGCAUGACAUUUGCUUAAAAGGUGCAAUUGCAUCACUACCAGAUGGACCUGCGUUGUAUUAGCUAGUUGGUGGGGUAACGGCUCACCAAGGCGACGAUACAUAGCCGACCUGAGAGGGUGAUCGGCCACACUGGGACUGAGACACGGCCCAG
This 223-nucleotide ribosomal RNA is filed under the name uncultured bacterium. RNAcentral describes it as "partial 16S ribosomal RNA". It matches the Rfam family "Bacterial small subunit ribosomal RNA", at positions 116 to 334 of the family's 1533-position model. RNAcentral also lists the same sequence under 1 other name. The record is from RNAcentral.